This 251-nucleotide ribosomal RNA is filed under the name uncultured bacterium. Its description in RNAcentral is "partial 16S ribosomal RNA". It matches the Rfam family "Bacterial small subunit ribosomal RNA", at positions 524 to 776 of the family's 1533-position model. The record is from RNAcentral.
UACGGAGGAUGCGAGCGUUAUCCGGAUUUAUUGGGUUUAAAGGGUGCGUAGGGGGAUGCCAAGUCAGCGGUAAAAAUGCGGUGCUCAACGCCGUCGAGCCGUUGAAACUGGCGUUCUUGAGUGGGCGAGAAGUAUGCGGAAUGCGUGGUGUAGCGGUGAAAUGCAUAGAUAUCACGCAGAACUCCGAUUGCGAAGGCAGCAUACCGGCGCCCUACUGACGCUGAGGCACGAAAGCGUGGGUAUCGAACAGG